This 1005-nucleotide ribosomal RNA is filed under the name Triticum aestivum (bread wheat). Its description in RNAcentral is "partial small subunit ribosomal RNA". Lineage: Eukaryota; Viridiplantae; Streptophyta; Magnoliopsida; Poales; Poaceae. The record is from RNAcentral.
AUGGCGGGGACGGCGGCGCAGAGCGUGCAGGCGCUGGCGUCCUCGCUGGGCGCGCUCCCGCCCGAGUUCGUGCGGCCCGAGCACGAGCAGCCGCGCGCCACCACGUUCCGCGGGGCCGCGCCGCCGGAAAUCCCCGUCAUCGACAUGUCCUCGCCGGGCGCCUGGCGCCGCAUGGCGGAGGCCGCGGCGGAGUGGGGCAUCUUCCAGGUGGUGUGCCACGGGGUGCCGGCUGAGGCCGUGGCGGAGCUGCAGCGCGUGGGCCGCGGGUUCUUCGCGCUGCCGCAGGAGGAGAAGCAGCGGUACGCCAUGGACCCGGCCGAGGGGAAGACCGAGGGCUACGGCUCCACGCUGCGGAAGGGCGACCUCGAGGGCAAGAAGGCCUGGGCCGACUUCCUCUUCCACAACGUCGCGCCGCCGGCCGCCGUGAACCACGCCGUCUGGCCGGAGAGCCCCGAGGGGUACAGGGAGGCCAACGAGGCCUACUGCGGCCACAUGCUGCGGCUCACGCGGGAGCUGUUCGGGCGCCUCUCGGCGGAGCUGGGCCUGCAGGAGGGCGCCAUGGCGGAGGCGUUCGGCGGCGACGACGUGGUGCUCCUCCAGAAGAUCAACUUCUACCCGCCGUGCCCACAGCCGGAGCUCGCGCUCGGCCUCGCGCCGCACACCGACAUGAGCACGCUCACCGUCCUCCUGCCCGACGAGGUGCAGGGCCUCCAGGUGUUCAAGGACGGAUGCUGGUACGACGUCAACUACGUGCCCGGCGCCCUCAUCAUCCACAUCGGCGACCAGAUCGAGAUCAUGAGCAACGGGAGGUACAAGGCCGUGCUGCACCGGACGACGGUGAGCCGGGAGAAGACGCGGAUGUCGUGGCCGGUGUUCGUGGAGCCGCCGCCGGAGCACGCCGUCGGGCCGCACCCGCAGCUCGUCACCGACGAGUUCGCGGCCAAGUACAAGGCCAAGAAGUUCAAGGACUACAAGUACUGCAAGAUCAACAAGCUACCACAGUAG